UCCCUGGUAGCUCAGCUGAUAAAGAAUCUGCCUGCAAUGCAGGAGACCCUGGUUUGAUUCCUGGGUUGGGAA
Ovis aries (sheep) is the source of this 72-nucleotide transfer RNA. It matches the Rfam family "tRNA". Rfam says of the family: Transfer RNA (tRNA) molecules are approximately 80 nucleotides in length. The record is from Rfam. Lineage: Eukaryota; Metazoa; Chordata; Mammalia; Artiodactyla; Bovidae.